Molecule: ribosomal RNA, 467 nt
Filed under: uncultured bacterium
Lineage: Bacteria
Description: bacterial SSU rRNA
Rfam family: Bacterial small subunit ribosomal RNA
Source: RNAcentral
UCGGGAAUUUUGGGCAAUGGGCGAAAGCCUGACCCAGCAACGCCGCGUGAAGGAUGACGGUCCUAUGGAUUGUAAACUGCUUUUGUACAGGAAGAAACAGUUCUACGUGUAGAACCUUGACGGUACUGUAAGAAUAAGGAUCGGCUAACUCCGUGCCAGCAGCCGCGGUAAUACGGAGGAUCCAAGCGUUAUCCGGAAUCAUUGGGUUUAAAGGGUCCGUAGGCGGUUAGAUAAGUCAGUGGUGAAAGCCCAUCGCUCAACGGUGGAACGGCCAUUGAUACUGUCUGACUUGAAUUAUUAGGAAGUAACUAGAAUAUGUAGUGUAGCGGUGAAAUGCUUAGAGAUUACAUGGAAUACCAAUUGCGAAGGCAGGUUACUACUAAUGGAUUGACGCUGAUGGACGAAAGCGUGGGUAGCGAACAGGAUUAGAUACCCUCGUAGUCCCUGAGCGGGCUGGCAAGGCGCAU